This 1235-nucleotide ribosomal RNA is filed under the name metagenome. RNAcentral's name for it is "bacterial LSU rRNA". It matches the Rfam family "Bacterial large subunit ribosomal RNA", at positions 1564 to 2808 of the family's 2925-position model. The record is from RNAcentral.
UGAAUACGAGAUGCUACGGCGUCGAAGCAGUCUAUGUCAUACUUCCAAGAAAAGCUUGCACUGUCAUAAACAAAUAAUGCCUGUACCAUAACCGACACAGGUGGGUAGGUAGAGUAUACUAAGGGGCGCGAGAUAACUCUCUCUAAGGAACUCGGCAAAAUGACUCCGUAACUUCGGGAGAAGGAGUGCCUUAUUUAUAAGGUUGCAAUAACAAGACCCAAGCAACUGUUUAUCAAAAACACAGGUCUCCGCUAAGUCGUAAGACGAUGUAUGGGGGCUGACGCCUGCCCAGUGCCAGAAGGUUAAAGAAGUUGGUUAGCAUUAGCGAAGCUGAUGACUGAAGCCCUGGUGAACGGCGGCCGUAACAAUAACGGUCCUAAGGUAGCGAAAUUCCUUGUCGGGUAAGUUCCGACCCGCACGAAAGGCGUAAUGAUUUGGGUACUGUCUCAGAGAGGGACUCGGUGAAAUAGACUUGUCUGUGAAGAUGCGGACUACCUGCACCUGGACAGAAAGACCCUAUGAAGCUUUACUGUAACCUGAAAUUGAAAUUGGACUUUAUUUGCGCAGUAUAGGUGGGAGGCUUUGAAGAUAUUCUUGCGGGAAUGUUGGAGCCAUCAGUGAGAUACCACUCUUGUAAUGUUAGAUUUCUAACUCUGUAUCAUUAUCUGGUCAAAGAACAGUUUCAGGCGGGCAGUUUGACUGGGGCGGUCGCCUCCUAAACGGUAACGGAGGCGCACAAAGGUUUCCUCUGAACGGGUAGAAAUCGUAUCUAGAGUGUAAAGGCAUAAGGAAGCUUGACUGUGAGACCUACAAGUCGAGCAGGGACGAAAGUCGGUCUUAGUGAUCUGACGGUGCUGAGUGGAAAGGCCGUCACUCAACGGAUAAAAGUUACUCUAAGGAUAACAGGCUGAUCUCCCCCAAGAGUUCACAUCGACGGGGAGGUUUGGCACCUCGAUGUCGGCUCAUCGCAUCCUGGGGCGGUAGUACGUCCCAAGGGUUGGGCUGUUCGCCCAUGAAAGCGGUACGCGAGCUGGGUUCAGAACGUCGUGAGACAGUUCGGUCCAUAUCCGGUGUAGGCGUUAGAAUAUUGAGAGGAGCCUUCUCUAGUACGAGAGGACCGAGAAGGACACACCUCUGGUGUACCAGUUAUCGUGCCAACGGUAAACGCUGGGUAGCUAUGUGUGGAGCGGAUAACCGCUGAAAGCAUCUAAGUGGGAAGCCCACCUCAAGAUAAG